RNAcentral lists this small nuclear RNA (104 nucleotides) under Sus scrofa (pig). RNAcentral describes it as "U4 spliceosomal RNA (ENSSSCG00070020776.1)". The record is from RNAcentral. Lineage: Eukaryota; Metazoa; Chordata; Mammalia; Artiodactyla; Suidae.
AGUUUUGUGCUUUGGCAGUAUCAUAGCCAAUAAGUUUUAUCCAAGGUAUGAUUACCGCUAAUUGAAACAGACAAGUGCUCCAUAUUUGCCAACCUUUUCUUUGG